GACGAACGCUGGCGGCGUGCUUAACACAUGCAAGUCGAACGGAAAGGCGCUGCUCUUGUUUGGUUCUCGAGUGGCGCACGCGUGUGAAACACGUGAGUAUCCUCCCCUUGGCUGUGGGAUAACUUCAGGAAACUGGGGCUAUUACAGGAUAUGAGCUCCCGCUGCAUGGUGGGGGUUGGAAAGAUGCGGCGGUUGGGGAUGGACUCGCGGCUUAUCAGCUUGUUGGUGGGGUAGUGGCAUACCAAGGCUUUGACGGGUAGCCGGCCUGAGAGGGUGGCCGGACACAUUGCGACUGAGCUACGGCACAGACUCGUACGGUGGGCAGCGGUGGAGAAUAUGACACAGUGGGCGGAAGCCUGAUGCGACGACGCCGCGUGCGGGAGAACGGCCUUCGUGUUGUAAACCGAUUUCGCCUGUGACGAAGCGUGAGUGACGGUAACGGGUAAAGAAGCACCGGCUAACUACGUG
RNAcentral lists this ribosomal RNA (468 nucleotides) under uncultured bacterium. Its description in RNAcentral is "partial 16S ribosomal RNA". It matches the Rfam family "Bacterial small subunit ribosomal RNA", at positions 28 to 507 of the family's 1533-position model. The record is from RNAcentral.